CAUGUCCUUUCGAGUAUAAUUUAAGGUCUGAUCUGCUCAAUGAAUGUAAAAUAGCCGCAGUAUUUUGACUGUGCAAAGGUAGCAUAAUAAUUAGUCUCUUGAUUAGAGACUGGAAUGAAAGAUUGGACAAGAAAAUUACUGUCUCUUUCUUAAUAUUUUUGAAUUUUAUUUUUAAGUGAAAAAGCUUAAAUUUUUAUAAAAGACGAGAAAACCCUACAGAGUUUAAUAUUUCAAUGUAAUUGAAUGUUAGAAUAAUUAUUUAUUUGAUUGGGGUGAAUGAAAGAUUAAAAAAAUUCUUUUAUAAAUUAUAUUGAAGAUUAUCAAUUUUAUUAUCUAUUAUUUGUAAAUAUAAAAUAAAUUACCUUAGGGAUAACAGCGUAAUUUUUCUUUAAAGUUCUUAUUGUAAGAAAAGUUUGAGACCUCGAUGUUGGAUUAAAAUUAAUUUUUGGUGCAAUAGCUGAAAAAUUGGGUCUGUUCGACCUUUAAAAUUUUACAUGAUCUACGUUUAAACCGGUGUGAGCCAGGUUGGAUUCUAUCUUUAAAUAAUAUAUUAAAUUUUAGUACGAAAGGACCAAAUAUAGAUUAAAUUAAUUG
RNAcentral lists this ribosomal RNA (594 nucleotides) under Cautires sp. UPOL A00030. Its description in RNAcentral is "partial 16S ribosomal RNA". It matches the Rfam family "Bacterial large subunit ribosomal RNA", at positions 1816 to 2714 of the family's 2925-position model. The record is from RNAcentral. Lineage: Eukaryota; Metazoa; Arthropoda; Insecta; Coleoptera; Lycidae.